GCACGGACUUCAUCGUCGCGACCGAUUUCGAUUCCGCCGACACGUUCAGAGACUGCUCCAACAGGCUGUCUCCGGACUCGUUCACUGCGAGCACACAGAAAAUUUGUUAGGCCGUCGUCGAGCCACGUGUAUCACGGACGAGUGAUCCGUCUUCCGACGGUGUUUAAUUGAACGUGCUUGCCGCGUGUGCUCGCGACAGCCGCGAUUUAUGCGUGGCGAGGUACGUUACGUGUACCGUUUCGAAGGGGCCGCGAUUUUAUUAGCGACCAGUUGCUUCGUCCAAUUUCCGGAAGAUUAUGAGAGAAUGUUUGUGGUUUCAGCGCUUCGACUACCGCGUCGGUCACCUAUAGGCGACGAUGAUGUUCGCGGAUGAUUCACUGACGGGGAAUGACGAAGGAUGUUUUCGGAUGAAUCAUCCGAGACAAUCGUCCAAAAUGAAAGGCGUUCGUUUAAAAUACCGACUAAAAGCUCCCACUCGAAUGGGAGAAAAGCUCCCACUGUUUAAUCAAAGUAAACUGCAAUAAAGAAGAGUCUCGGAGUCAAUUUUAAGUAUUUCUUGUAAUUACUUGGUAGUUGCUCGCCUCACUUGAAUAACAUGAUUAUCGUGUUCAAGAAAA
Megalopta genalis is the source of this 617-nucleotide long non-coding RNA. RefSeq lists it as uncharacterized. Lineage: Eukaryota; Metazoa; Arthropoda; Insecta; Hymenoptera; Halictidae. The record is from RefSeq and is a predicted model, not a curated record.